This 497-nucleotide ribosomal RNA is filed under the name uncultured bacterium. RNAcentral's name for it is "partial 16S ribosomal RNA". It matches the Rfam family "Bacterial small subunit ribosomal RNA", at positions 28 to 507 of the family's 1533-position model. The record is from RNAcentral.
GAUGAACGCUGGCGGCGUGCCUAAUACAUGCAAGUCGAGCGAACAGACGAGGAGCUUGCUCCUCUGACGUAAGCGGCGGACGGGUGAGUAACACGUGGAUAACCUACCUAUAAGACUGGGAUAACUUCGGGAAACCGGAGCUAAUACCGGAUAAUAUAUUGAACCGCAUGGUUCAAUAGUGAAAGACGGUUUUGCUGUCACUUAUAGAUGGAUCCGCGCCGCAUUAGCUAGUUGGUAAGGUAACGGCUUACCAAGGCAACGAUGCGUAGCCGACCUGAGAGGGGGAUCGGCCACACUGGAACUGGAACACGGUCCAGACUCCUGCGGGAGGCAGCAGUAGGGAACCGUCCGCAAUGGUCGAAAACCUGACGGAGCAACGCGGCGUGAGUGAUGAAGGUCCCCGGAUCGUAAAACUCUGUUAUUAGGGAAGAACAAAUGUGUAAGUAACUAUGCACGUCUUGACGGUACCUAGUCAGAAAGCCACGACUAACUACGUG